UACAGAGGUCCCGAGCGUUGUUCGGAUUCACUGGGCGUAAAGGGUGCGUAGGUGGUGAGGAAAGUCGGAUGUGAAAGCUCCGGGCUCAACCCGGAAAUGGCAUUGGAAACUACCUUGCUUGAGGUUUGGAGGGGGGACUGGAAUUCUCGGUGUAGCAGUGAAAUGCGUAGAUAUCGAGAGGAACACCAGUGGCGAAGGCGAGUCCCUGGACAACACCUGACACUGAGGCACGAAAGCCGGGGGAGCAAACAGG
RNAcentral lists this unclassified non-coding RNA (253 nucleotides) under uncultured Verrucomicrobiota bacterium. RNAcentral's name for it is "uncultured Verrucomicrobia bacterium contains 16S-23S intergenic spacer region". It matches the Rfam family "Bacterial small subunit ribosomal RNA", at positions 524 to 776 of the family's 1533-position model. Lineage: Bacteria; Pseudomonadati; Verrucomicrobiota. The record is from RNAcentral.